AACGUAGGUGGCGAGCGUUAUCCGGAUUUACUGGGCGUAAAGGGCGCGUAGGCGGUCGUGACAAGUCACUUGUGAAAUCUCCGGGCUUAACUCGGAACGGUCAAGUGAUACUGUCGGACUAGAGUACAGAAGGGGCAACUGGAAUUCUCGGUGUAGCGGUGAAAUGCGUAGAGAUCAGGAAGAACAUCGGUGGCGAAGGCGCUCUGCGUGGACCAUAACUGACACUCGAGGGACGAAAGCUAGGGGAGCGAAUGGG
Molecule: ribosomal RNA, 256 nt
Filed under: uncultured bacterium
Lineage: Bacteria
Description: partial 16S ribosomal RNA
Rfam family: Bacterial small subunit ribosomal RNA
Source: RNAcentral